UUUGGGUGCAGAUUCGUGGA
RNAcentral lists this non-coding RNA (20 nucleotides) under Arabidopsis thaliana (thale cress). Lineage: Eukaryota; Viridiplantae; Streptophyta; Magnoliopsida; Brassicales; Brassicaceae. The record is from RNAcentral.